RNAcentral lists this ribosomal RNA (2880 nucleotides) under Stenotrophomonas maltophilia. Its description in RNAcentral is "23S ribosomal RNA". It matches the Rfam family "Bacterial large subunit ribosomal RNA". Lineage: Bacteria; Pseudomonadati; Pseudomonadota; Gammaproteobacteria; Lysobacterales; Lysobacteraceae. RNAcentral also lists the same sequence under 1 other name. The record is from RNAcentral.
GGUCAAGCGAAUAAGCGCACACGGUGGAUGCCUUGGCGGUCAGAGGCGAUGAAGGACGUGGCAGCCUGCGAAAAGUAUCGGGGAGCUGGCAACAAGCUUUGAUCCGGUAAUGUCCGAAUGGGGAAACCCACCCGCUUGCGGGUAUCCUGCAGUGAAUACAUAGCUGCUGGAAGCGAACCUGGUGAACUGAAAUAUCUAAGUAACCAGAGGAAAAGAAAUCAACCGAGAUUCCGUAAGUAGCGACGAGCGAACGCGGACUAGCCCUUAAGCUGAUUUGGUUCUAGGAAAACGCUCUGGAAAGAGCGGCCAUAGAAGGUGAUAGCCCUGUAUCUGAAAGGGCCAUUUCAGUGAAGACGAGUAGGGCGGGGCACGUGAAACCCUGUCUGAACAUGGGGGGACCAUCCUCCAAGGCUAAAUACUACUGACCGACCGAUAGUGAACCAGUACCGUGAGGGAAAGGCGAAAAGAACCCCGGAGAGGGGAGUGAAAUAGAACCUGAAACCGUGUGCGUACAAGCAGUAGGAGCUCCGCAAGGAGUGACUGCGUACCUUUUGUAUAAUGGGUCAGCGACUUACUGUUCGUGGCAAGCUUAACCGUAUAGGGGAGGCGAAGGGAAACCGAGUCUGAUAAGGGCGCAUAGUCGCGGGCAGUAGACCCGAAACCGGGUGAUCUAGUCAUGCCCAGGGUGAAGGUGCGGUAACACGCACUGGAGGCCCGAACCCACUCCCGUUGCAAAGGUAGGGGAUGAGGUGUGAUUAGGAGUGAAAAGCUAAUCGAACCCGGAGAUAGCUGGUUCUCCUCGAAAGCUAUUUAGGUAGCGCCUCAUAUGUAUCCUCUCGGGGGUAGAGCACUGUUAUGGCUAGGGGGUCAUCGCGACUUACCAAACCAUUGCAAACUCCGAAUACCGAGACGGACUGUAUGGGAGACACACGGCGGGUGCUAACGUCCGUCGUGAAAAGGGAAACAACCCAGACCCACAGCUAAGGUCCCAAAUUUUGUGCUAAGUGGAAAACCAUGUGGAAAGGCACAGACAGCCAGGAGGUUGGCUUAGAAGCAGCCACCCUUUAAAGAAAGCGUAAUAGCUCACUGGUCGAGUCGGUCUGCGGGGAAGAUUUAACGGGGCUAAGCACAGAACCGAAGCUUGGGGUGCAUAACUUUGUUAUGCGCGGUAGAGGAGCGUUCCGUAAGCCGUUGAAGGUGGAUUGAGAAGUCUGCUGGAGGUAUCGGAAGUGCGAAUGCUGACAUGAGUAACGAUAAUGCGGGUGAAAAACCCGCACGCCGAAAGCCCAAGGUUUCCUUGCGCAACGUUAAUCGGCGCAGGGUGAGUCGGCCCCUAAGGCGAGGACGAAAGUCGUAGUCGAUGGGAAGCAGGUUAAUAUUCCUGCACCUCGCGUAAGUGCGAUGGAGGGACGGAGAAGGUUAGGUGUACCAGGCGUUGGUUGUCCUGGGGAAAGGCGGUAGGUUUGGAUCUUUGGCAAAUCCGGGAUCCUUUAAGACCGAGCACCGAGACGAGCCUUUAAGGCGAAGUCACUGAUACCACGCUUCCAGGAAAAGCUCCUAAGCUUCAGCUUACGCAGACCGUACCGUAAACCGACACAGGUGGGUAGGAUGAGAAUUCUCAGGCGCUUGAGAGAACUCGGGUGAAGGAACUAGGCAACAUGGCACCGUAACUUCGGGAGAAGGUGCACCCUUUUUGGUGGCUCGUGCGAGCUAUAGCUGAAGAGGGUCGCAGUAACCAGGCCGCUGCGACUGUUUAUCAAAAACACAGCACUCUGCAAACACGAAAGUGGACGUAUAGGGUGUGACGCCUGCCCGGUGCUGGAAGGUUAAUUGAUGGGGUCAGCCGCAAGGCGAAGCUCUUGAUCGAAGCCCCAGUAAACGGCGGCCGUAACUAUAACGGUCCUAAGGUAGCGAAAUUCCUUGUCGGGUAAGUUCCGACCUGCACGAAUGGCGUAACGACAGCGGCGCUGUCUCCACCCGAGACUCAGUGAAAUUGAAAUCGCUGUGAAGAUGCAGCGUUCCCGUGGCAAGACGGAAAGACCCCGUGAACCUUUACUAUAGCUUUACACUGAACGUUGAGUUCGUCUGUGUAGGAUAGGUGGGAGGCUAUGAAACCAUGGCGCUAGCUGUGGCGGAGCCAUCCUUGAAAUACCACCCUGUCGUGCUUGACGUUCUAACCUGGGCCCAUUAUCUGGGUCGGGGACCGUGUAUGGUGGGUAGUUUGACUGGGGCGGUCUCCUCCUAAAGAGUAACGGAGGAGCUCGAAGGUACGCUCAGCGCGGUCGGACAUCGCGCACUGUGUGCAAAGGCAUAAGCGUGCUUGACUGCAAGAUCGACGGAUCAAGCAGGUAGGAAACUAGGACUUAGUGAUCCGGUGGUUCUGUAUGGAAGGGCCAUCGCUCAACGGAUAAAAGGUACUCCGGGGAUAACAGGCUGAUACCGCCCAAGAGUUCAUAUCGACGGCGGUGUUUGGCACCUCGAUGUCGGCUCAUCACAUCCUGGGGCUGUAGUCGGUCCCAAGGGUAUGGCUGUUCGCCAUUUAAAGUGGUACGCGAGCUGGGUUCAGAACGUCGUGAGACAGUUCGGUCCCUAUCUGCCAUGGGCGUUGGAGAUUUGAGAGGGGCUGCUCCUAGUACGAGAGGACCGGAGUGGACGAACCUCUGGUGUUCCGGUUGUCACGCCAGUGGCAUUGCCGGGUAGCUAUGUUCGGAAGCGAUAACCGCUGAAAGCAUCUAAGCGGGAAGCGCGCCUCAAGAUGAGAUCUCCCGGGGCACAAGCCCCCUGAAGGAACCAUGUAGACUACGUGGUUGAUAGGUCAGGUGUGUAAGUACAGCAAUGUAUUGAGCUAACUGAUACUAAUGAUCCGAGAGGCUUGACCAU